UCAGGUCGUUUCCAACUUAUGGAGAUCCAUGGGAUUUUCUUGGCAAGUUUUCUUCAGAGGGAGUUUGCCAUUGCCAUCCUCUGGGUCAAAAAGUUAUUCUGGUCAGCGGUAGGAAUUCUUUCAUCCUCGAUCAGCCGGAGGAUUCUGGGAGCUAUAGUCCGAAGCGUUAACGUUUCCAGACCUUUGUUUCUAUCAAGUUAAGUAUCUUUGCUGAGCGGGGAUUUUGAACCGGGGUCGAAACCGCUGCGUCCCUGUUGAUUGUUUCCCCUUCCUAAUGGUUUUAUAGGGCGCCUUUUAAUUUCAACCAAUGUGCAGAUCAAUUGCGGAGGGGGGAACGGACAGUGAAAAAUAUGUUUGACUCGCAGGAACCGUGCUGCGUGAGCUUUGAGAGGCUGCGGGGGAAUGCUGCGACAGAAAAGCACGCUAAAAGGAGAUCGGUUCUGUAUUCCUGACACACCAAAAACUCGACGCUGGUCUUAUUGAGAGUUUCAGGAGGAUUUUGACAA
Long non-coding RNA from Sceloporus undulatus (fence lizard), 506 nucleotides. RefSeq lists it as uncharacterized. The transcript has 3 exons. The record is from RefSeq and is a predicted model, not a curated record. NCBI's taxonomy places the organism in Eukaryota, Metazoa, Chordata, Lepidosauria, Squamata, Phrynosomatidae.